This 321-nucleotide ribosomal RNA is filed under the name Flabelligera affinis. RNAcentral describes it as "partial 16S ribosomal RNA". It matches the Rfam family "Bacterial large subunit ribosomal RNA", at positions 1959 to 2517 of the family's 2925-position model. Lineage: Eukaryota; Metazoa; Annelida; Polychaeta; Terebellida; Flabelligeridae. The record is from RNAcentral.
GCAUAAUAAUUUGCCUUUUAAUUAGAGGCUAGAAUGAAUGGACAAACGAAGAUAUUACUGUUUCUUAUAAAUAACUAAAAAUUUAUAUUUAGGUGAAAAAGCCUAAAUUCAAUUAAAAGACAAAAAGACCCUGCAGAGCUUGAUAUUUAUUUUCUUUUUCAGAAAUAAAAAUAUUUUGUUGGGGCGACAAAGGAUAAAUUAAAUCAUCCUUAAAAUAUACGGGUUACUUCCCUAAUAAUAGAUCCUAAUAUGAUCAAAGACUAAAGCUACCUCAGGGAUAACAGGCUUAUCUUUCUCAAGAGUUCAUAUCAACAGAAAGUC